UGGUGAUCCUCCAUGUGCCACGUAUGGAUGGAUCUCGAGAUAGAAAUUCGAUUAUCAUCUCUCUUGGAAUUGGGCACGCACCGUUGCCCACGCCUCCUGGAAACGCCACCAAAGGGGACUCACCAUCCCCUUAUGAUCGAAUCAGCAAGGAAAUUGAAUUUUUCCGUAUCUCCGCCAUCGAUCUUUGCCGACUUAUCGUCCCGGAAAAAUGAGUCCCGAGAGGGGGGAGAGAGAGAAAGAGA
Apis dorsata (giant honeybee) is the source of this 242-nucleotide long non-coding RNA. RefSeq lists it as uncharacterized. The transcript has 3 exons. NCBI's taxonomy places the organism in Eukaryota, Metazoa, Arthropoda, Insecta, Hymenoptera, Apidae. The record is from RefSeq and is a predicted model, not a curated record.